This 430-nucleotide ribosomal RNA is filed under the name uncultured bacterium. RNAcentral's name for it is "partial 16S ribosomal RNA". It matches the Rfam family "Bacterial small subunit ribosomal RNA", at positions 354 to 796 of the family's 1533-position model. The record is from RNAcentral.
GUGGGGAAUAUUGCACAAUGGGCGCAAGCCUGAUGCAGCGACGCCGCGUGAGGGAUGGAGGCCUUCGGGUUGUAAACCUCUUUUAUCGGGGAGCAAGCGAGAGUGAGUUUACCCGUUGAAUAAGCACCGGCUAACUACGUGCCAGCAGCCGCGGUAAUACGUAGGGUGCAAGCGUUAUCCGGAAUUAUUGGGCGUAAAGGGCUCGUAGGCGGUUCGUCGCGUCCGGUGUGAAAGUCCAUCGCUUAACGGUGGAUCCGCGCCGGGUACGGGCGGGCUUGAGUGCGGUAGGGGAGACUGGAAUUCCCGGUGUAACGGUGGAAUGUGUAGAUAUCGGGAAGAACACCAAUGGCGAAGGCAGGUCUCUGGGCCGUUACUGACGCUGAGGAGCGAAAGCGUGGGGAGCGAACAGGAUUAGAAACCCCGGUAGUCC